CCUACGGGAGGCAGCAGUGGGGAAUAUUGCGCAAUGGGGGAAACCCUGACGCAGCGACGCCGUGUGAGGGAAGAAGGCCUUCGGGUCGUAAACCUCUGUCGGGAGGGAAGAACCGCCGGUUUCCGAACAGGGAGCCGGUCUGACGGUACCUCCGAAGGAAGCGCCGGCUAACUCCGUGCCAGCAGCCGCGGUAAUACGGAGGGCGCGAGCGUUAAUCGGAAUCACUGGGCGUAAAGCGCGCGUAGGCGGCUUGAUAAGUCGGGCGUGAAAGCCCUCGGCCCAACCGAGGAACUGCGUUCGAUACUGUUAGGCUUGAGUCCUGGAGAGGGUGGCGGAAUUCCGGGUGUAGGAGUGAAAUCCGUAGAUAUCCGGAGGAACACCGGUGGCGAAGGCGGCCACCUGGACAGGUACUGACGCUGAGGUGCGAAAGCGUGGGGAG
RNAcentral lists this ribosomal RNA (439 nucleotides) under uncultured Desulfovibrio sp. RNAcentral describes it as "bacterial SSU rRNA". It matches the Rfam family "Bacterial small subunit ribosomal RNA", at positions 338 to 768 of the family's 1533-position model. The record is from RNAcentral. Lineage: Bacteria; Pseudomonadati; Thermodesulfobacteriota; Desulfovibrionia; Desulfovibrionales; Desulfovibrionaceae.